This 790-nucleotide ribosomal RNA is filed under the name uncultured bacterium. Its description in RNAcentral is "bacterial SSU rRNA". It matches the Rfam family "Bacterial small subunit ribosomal RNA", at positions 35 to 823 of the family's 1533-position model. The record is from RNAcentral.
GCUGGCGGCAGGCCUAACACAUGCAAGUCGAGCGGUAGAGAGAAGCUUGCUUCUCUUGAGAGCGGCGGACGGGUGAGUAAAGCCUAGGAAUCUGCCUGGUAGUGGGGGAUAACGUUCGGAAACGGACGCUAAUACCGCAUACGUCCUACGGGAGAAAGCAGGGGACCUUCGGGCCUUGCGCUAUCAGAUGAGCCUAGGUCGGAUUAGCUAGUUGGUGAGGUAAUGGCUCACCAAGGCGACGAUCCGUAACUGGUCUGAGAGGAUGAUCAGUCACACUGGAACUGAGACACGGUCCAGACUCCUACGGGAGGCAGCAGUGGGGAAUACUGGACAAUGGGCGAAAGCCUGAUCCAGCCAUGCCGCGUGUGUGAAGAAGGUCUUCGGAUUGUAAAGCACUUUAAGUUGGGAGGAAGGGCAUUAACCUAAUACGUUAGUGUUUUGACGUUACCGACAGAAUAAGCACCGGCUAACUCUGUGCCAGCAGCCGCGGUAAUACAGAGGGUGCAAGCGUUAAUCGGAAUUACUGGGCGUAAAGCGCGCGUAGGUGGUUUGUUAAGUUGGAUGUGAAAUCCCCGGGCUCAACCUGGGAACUGCAUUCAAAACUGACUGACUAGAGUGUGUAGAGGGUGGUGGAAUUUCCUGUGUAGCGGUGAAAUGCGUAGAUAUAGGAAGGAACACCAGUGGCGAAGGCGACCACCUGGACCAACACUGACACUGAGUGCGAAAGCGUGGGGAGCAAACAGGAUUAGAUACCCUGGUAGUCCACGCCGUAAACGAUGUCACUAGCCGU